AUACGUAGGGGGCGAGCGUUGUCCGGAAUUAUUGGGCGUAAAGCGCGCGCAGGCGGUCCCUUAAGUCUGAUGUGAAAGCCCACGGCUCAACCGUGGAGGGUCAUUGGAAACUGGGGGACUUGAGUGCAGAAGAGGAGAGCGGAAUUCCACGUGUAGCGGUGAAAUGCGUAGAGAUGUGGAGGAACACCAGUGGCGAAGGCGGCUCUCUGGUCUGUAACUGACGCUGAGGCGCGAAAGCGUGGGGAGCAAACAGGAUUAGAUACCCUGGUAGUCCACGCCGUAAACGAUGAGUGCUAAGUGUUAGAGGGGUUAAACCCUUUAGUGCUGUAGCUAACGCGUUAAGCACUCCGCCUGGGGAGUACGGCCGCAAGGCUGAA
RNAcentral lists this ribosomal RNA (377 nucleotides) under uncultured bacterium. Its description in RNAcentral is "bacterial SSU rRNA". It matches the Rfam family "Bacterial small subunit ribosomal RNA", at positions 523 to 898 of the family's 1533-position model. The record is from RNAcentral.